RNAcentral lists this ribosomal RNA (460 nucleotides) under uncultured bacterium. Its description in RNAcentral is "partial 16S ribosomal RNA". It matches the Rfam family "Bacterial small subunit ribosomal RNA", at positions 338 to 795 of the family's 1533-position model. The record is from RNAcentral.
CCUACGGGAGGCAGCAGUGAGGAAUAUUGGUCAAUGGACGAGAGUCUGAACCAGCCACGCAGCGUGAAGGAUGACUGCCCUAGGGGUUUUAAGCUCCUUUUAUAUGGGAGUAAAAUGUUCCACGUGUGGGAGUUUGUAUGUACCAUAUGGAUAAGGAUCGGCUAACUCCGUGCCAGCAGCCGCGGUAAUACGGAGGAUCCGAGCGUUAUCCGGAUUUAGUGGGUUUAAAGGGGGCGUAGGUGGAUUGUUAAGUCAGUUGUGAAAGUCUGCGGCUCAACCGUGAAAUUGCAGUUGAAACUGGCAGUCUUGAGUGCAGUAGAGGUAGGCGGAAUUCGUGGUGUAGCGGUGAAAUGCGUAGAUAUCAGGAAGAACACCGAUUGCGAAGGCAGCUUGCUGGACUGCAACUGACACUGAGGCUCGAAAGUGUGGGGAGCAAACAGGAUUAGAUACCCUGGUAGUC